AUACGGAGGAUCCAAGCGUUAUCCGGAUUCAUUGGGCGUAAAGCGCGCGUAGGCGGCUUAUUAAGUCAGGUGUCAAAUCCAGAGGCUCAACCUCUGUCCGCACCUGAAACUGAUAGGCUUGAGUUUGGUAGAGGAAGAUGGAAUUCCCAGUGUAGCGGUGAAAUGCGCAGAUAUUGGGAGGAACACCAAUGGCGAAGGCAGUCUUCUGGGCCAUAACUGACGCUGAGGUGCGAAAGCU
RNAcentral lists this ribosomal RNA (238 nucleotides) under uncultured bacterium. RNAcentral describes it as "partial 16S ribosomal RNA". It matches the Rfam family "Bacterial small subunit ribosomal RNA", at positions 523 to 761 of the family's 1533-position model. The record is from RNAcentral.